RNAcentral lists this ribosomal RNA (425 nucleotides) under uncultured eukaryote. RNAcentral describes it as "bacterial SSU rRNA". It matches the Rfam family "Eukaryotic small subunit ribosomal RNA", at positions 592 to 1018 of the family's 1831-position model. The record is from RNAcentral.
CAAUAGCGUAUAUUAAAGUUGUUGCAGUUAAAAAGCUCGUAGUUGGAUUUCUGGCUGGAGCGAUCGGUCCGCCCCGCAAGGGGUGUGUACUAGCGUCGUCUCCGACCAUCCUUGUGGGAACUGUGCGGCCGUUAACUCGGUUGUAUAUGGGAACACAUCGUUUACUGUGAAAAAAUUAGAGUGUUCAAAGCAGGCCUAUGCUCUGAAUAGGUUAGCAUGGAAUAAUAGAAUAGGACUUCGGUACUAUUUUGUUGGUUUCUAGGACCGAAGUAAUGAUUAAUAGGGACAGUUGGGGGCAUUCAUAUUCCAUUGUCAGAGGUGAAAUUCUUGGAUUAACGGAAGAUGAACUACUGCGAAAGCAUCUGCCAAGGAUGUUUUCAUUGAUCAAGAACGAAAGUUAGGGAUCGAAGACGAUCAGAUACCAU